This 253-nucleotide ribosomal RNA is filed under the name uncultured bacterium. Its description in RNAcentral is "partial 16S ribosomal RNA". It matches the Rfam family "Bacterial small subunit ribosomal RNA", at positions 524 to 776 of the family's 1533-position model. The record is from RNAcentral.
GACAGAGGGUGCAAGCGUUGUUCGGAAUCACUGGGCGUAAAGGGCGCGUAGGCGGUUGGGUGUGUCUGAUGUGAAAGCCCUCGGCUUAACCGGGGAAUGGCAUCGGAAACUACCUGACUGGAGUGCGAGAGAGGGUGGCGGAAUUCCUAGUGUAGAGGUGAAAUUCGUAGAUACUAGGAGGAACACCGGAGGCGAAGGCGGCCACCUGGCUCGUAACUGACGCUAAGGCGCGAAAGCGUGGGUAGCAAACAGG